UACGGAGGGGGUUAGCGUUGUUCGGAAUUACUGGGCGUAAAGCGCGCGUAGGCGGAUUAGAAAGUUGGGGGUGAAAUCCCGGGGCUCAACCCCGGAACUGCCUCCAAAACUACUAGUCUAGAGUUCGAGGGAGGUGAGUGGAAUUCCGAGUGUAGAGGUGAAAUUCGUAGAUAUUCGGAGGAACACCAGUGGCGAAGGCGGCUCACUGGCUCGAUACUGACGCUGAGGUGCGAAAGUGUGGGGAGCAAACAGG
RNAcentral lists this ribosomal RNA (253 nucleotides) under uncultured bacterium. RNAcentral's name for it is "partial 16S ribosomal RNA". It matches the Rfam family "Bacterial small subunit ribosomal RNA", at positions 524 to 776 of the family's 1533-position model. The record is from RNAcentral.